Molecule: ribosomal RNA, 468 nt
Filed under: uncultured bacterium
Lineage: Bacteria
Description: partial 16S ribosomal RNA
Rfam family: Bacterial small subunit ribosomal RNA
Source: RNAcentral
GAUGAACGCUGGCGGCGUGCUUAACACAUGCAAGUCGAACGGAAAGGCCCAAGCUUGCUUGGGUACUCGAGUGGCGAACGGGUGAGUAACACGUGGGUGAUCUGCCCUGCACUUCGGGAUAAGCCUGGGAAACUGGGUCUAAUACCGGAUAGGACGAUGGUUUGGAUGCCAUUGUGGAAAGUUUUUUCGGUGUGGGAUGAGCUCGCGGCCUAUCAGCUUGUUGGUGGGGUAAUGGCCUACCAAGGCGUCGACGGGUAGCCGGCCUGAGAGGGUGUACGGCCACAUUGGGGCUGGGAUACGGCCCAGACUCCUACGGGAGGCAGCAGUGGGGAAUAUUGCACAAUGGGGGCAAGCCUGAUGCAGCGACGCCGCGGGGGGGAUGACGGCCUUCGGGUUGUAAACUCCUUUCGCUAGGGACGAAGCGUUUUUGUGACGGUACCUGGAGAAGAAGCACCGGCUAACUACGUG